UACGAAAGGGGCUAGGGUUGGUCGGCAUUGCUGGGCGUAAAGCGCACGUAGGCGGCAGUGUAAGUUGGGGGUGAAAUCCCGGAGGUCGACUCCGGAACGGCCGUCAAGACUGCAGAGCUGGAGGAUGCGAGAGGUGAGUGGAAUUCCGAGUGUAGAGGUGAAAUUCGUAGAUAUUCGGAAGAACCCCUGUGGCGGAUGCGGCUCACUGGCGCGUUUCUGACGCUGAGGUGCGAAAUCGUGGGGAGCUAACAGG
Molecule: ribosomal RNA, 253 nt
Filed under: uncultured bacterium
Lineage: Bacteria
Description: partial 16S ribosomal RNA
Rfam family: Bacterial small subunit ribosomal RNA
Source: RNAcentral